GGGUUCACACUGUCUUGAUCUCUACCCAGCAUGACGAAACUGUGACAAACGAGAAGAUCGCCAUCGACUUGAAAGAGCAUGUCAUCAAGCCUAUAAUCCCUGCUCAGUACCUUGAUGACAAAACUAUCUUCCACCUGAACCCAUCUGGCAGAUUUGUGAUUGGUGGCCCACACGGAGAUGCUGGUCUGACGGGUAGGAAGAUCAUUAUCGACACCUAUGGUGGCUGGGGUGCUC
Molecule: long non-coding RNA, 234 nt
Filed under: Erythranthe guttata (spotted monkey flower)
Lineage: Eukaryota; Viridiplantae; Streptophyta; Magnoliopsida; Lamiales; Phrymaceae
Description: long non-coding RNA (EGUT_LNC000971)
Source: RNAcentral